This 67-nucleotide transfer RNA is filed under the name Branchinotogluma japonicus. Its description in RNAcentral is "tRNA-Ile". The record is from RNAcentral. Lineage: Eukaryota; Metazoa; Annelida; Polychaeta; Phyllodocida; Polynoidae.
GGUGCUGCGCCGGGCAUGAACGGAUAACUCUGAUGACGUUAACUACGGGGAUAUUCCCCCAUCACCU